This 253-nucleotide ribosomal RNA is filed under the name uncultured bacterium. Its description in RNAcentral is "partial 16S ribosomal RNA". It matches the Rfam family "Bacterial small subunit ribosomal RNA", at positions 524 to 776 of the family's 1533-position model. The record is from RNAcentral.
UACGUAGGGUGCAGGCGUUAAUCGGAAUUACUGGGCGUAAAGCGCACGUAGGCGGCUUUCUAAGUCGGGGGUGAAAUCCUGGAGCUCAACUCCAGAACUGCCUUCGAUACUGGAGAGCUCGAGUCCGGGAGAGGUGAGUGGAACUGCGAGUGUAGAGGUGAAAUUCGUAGAUAUUCGCAAGAACACCAGUGGCGAAGGCGGCUCACUGGCCCGGUACUGACGCUGAGGUGCGAAAGCGUGGGGAGCAAACAGG